This 440-nucleotide ribosomal RNA is filed under the name uncultured bacterium. RNAcentral's name for it is "partial 16S ribosomal RNA". It matches the Rfam family "Bacterial small subunit ribosomal RNA", at positions 338 to 795 of the family's 1533-position model. The record is from RNAcentral.
CCUACGGGAGGCUGCAGUGGGGAAUAUUGCACAAUGGGGGAAACCCUGAUGCAGCGACGCCGCGUGAGCGAUGAAGUAUUUCGGUAUGUAAAGCUCUAUCAGCCGGGAAGAAAAUGCCGGUACCUGACUAAGAAGCCCCGGCUAACUACGUGACAGCAGCCGCGGUAAUACGUAGGGGGCAAGCGUUAUCCGGAUUUACUGGGGGUAAAGGGAGCGUAGACGGCUUGGAAAGCCAGAUGUGAAAGGCUGGGGCUCAACCCAAGGACUGCAUUUGCAACUGUCAGGCUAGAGUGUCGGAGAGGCAGGCGGAAUGCCUAGUGUAGCGGUGAAAUGCGUAGAUAUUAGGAGGAACACCAGUGGCGAAGGCGGCCUGCUGGACGAUGACUGACGUUGAGGCUCGAAAGCGUGGGGAGCAAACAGGAUUAGAUACCCCAGUAGUC